GAUGAACGCUGGCGGCGUGCCUAAUACAUGCAAGUCGAGCGAACGGACGAGAAGCUUGCUUUUCUGAUGUUAGCGGCGGACGGGUGAGUAACACGUGGAUAACCUACCUAUAAGACUGGGAUAACUUCGGGAAACCGGAGCUAAUACCGGAUAAUAUUUUGAACCGCAUGGUUCAAAAGUGAAAGACGGUCUUGCUGUCACUUAUAGAUGGAUCCGCGCUGCAUUAGCUAGUUGGUAAGGUAACGGCUUACCAAGGCAACGAUGCAUAGCCGACCUGAGAGGGUGAUCGGCCACACUGGAACUGAGACACGGUCCAGACUCCUACGGGAGGCAGCAGUAGGGAAUCUUCCGCAAUGGGCGAAAGCCUGACGGAGCAACGCCGCGUGAGUGAUGAAGGUCUUCGGAUCGUAAAACUCUGUUAUUAGGGAAGAACAAAUGUGUAAGUAACUGUGCACAUCUUGACGGUACCUAAUCAGAAAGCCACGGCUAACUACGUG
RNAcentral lists this ribosomal RNA (497 nucleotides) under uncultured bacterium. Its description in RNAcentral is "partial 16S ribosomal RNA". It matches the Rfam family "Bacterial small subunit ribosomal RNA", at positions 28 to 507 of the family's 1533-position model. The record is from RNAcentral.